GGUUCGUUGGUCCAGUCGGUUAAGACGCCUCCCUGUCACGGAGGAGAUCACGAGUUCGAGUCUCGUACGAACCG
This 74-nucleotide transfer RNA is filed under the name Fructilactobacillus lindneri. RNAcentral describes it as "Lactobacillus lindneri tRNA-Asp". It matches the Rfam family "tRNA". Rfam says of the family: Transfer RNA (tRNA) molecules are approximately 80 nucleotides in length. Their secondary structure includes four short double-helical elements and three loops (D, anti-codon, and T loops). RNAcentral also lists the same sequence under 2 other names. The record is from RNAcentral. Lineage: Bacteria; Bacillati; Bacillota; Bacilli; Lactobacillales; Lactobacillaceae.